RNAcentral lists this ribosomal RNA (253 nucleotides) under uncultured bacterium. Its description in RNAcentral is "partial 16S ribosomal RNA". It matches the Rfam family "Bacterial small subunit ribosomal RNA", at positions 524 to 776 of the family's 1533-position model. The record is from RNAcentral.
UACGAAGGGGGCUAGCGUUGCUCGGAAUCACUGGGCGUAAAGCGCACGUAGGCGGCUCUUUAAGUCAGAGGUGAAAUCCUGGGGCUCAACCCCAGAACUGCCUUUGAUACUGAGGAGCUUGAGUCCGGGAGAGGUGAGUGGAACUGUGAGUGUAGAGGUGAAAUUCGUAGAUAUUCGCAAGAACACCAGUGGCGAAGGCGGCUCACUGGCCCGGUACUGACGCUGAGGUGCGAAAGCGUGGGGAGCAAACAGG